This 828-nucleotide ribosomal RNA is filed under the name uncultured Methylomirabilota bacterium. RNAcentral describes it as "bacterial SSU rRNA". It matches the Rfam family "Bacterial small subunit ribosomal RNA", at positions 199 to 1005 of the family's 1533-position model. Lineage: Bacteria; Methylomirabilota (SeqCode). The record is from RNAcentral.
GACCAAAGGGGGCGAGCGUAAGCAGCUCUCACCGAAGGAGGAGCCUGCGUCCGAUUAGCUAGUUGGUGGGGUAAUGGCCUACCAAGGCGACGAUCGGUAGCCGGCCUGAGAGGGCGAUCGGCCACACUGGAACUGAGACACGGUCCAGACUCCUACGGGAGGCAGCAGUGGGGAAUAUUGCGCAAUGGGCGAAAGCCUGACGCAGCGACGCCGCGUGGGUGAUGAAGGCCUUCGGGUCGUAAAGCCCUGUCUGGUGGAACGAAACGCCUGGCGGCCAAUACCCGCUGGGUUUGACGGUACCACCGAAGGAAGCCCCGGCUAACUACGUGCCAGCAGCCGCGGUAAGACGUAGGGGGCGAGCGUUGUUCGGAUUUACUGGGCGUAAAGCGCGCGUAGGCGGCCAGAUAAGUCGGGUGUGAAAGCCCUCGGCUCUACCGAGGUUCCGCAUCCGAUACUGCUUGGCUGGAGUCUAGGAGAGGAGAGCGGAAUUCCCAGUGUAGCGGUGAAAUGCGUAGAUAUUGGGAGGAACACCCGUGGCGAAGGCGGCUCUCUGGACUAGUACUGACGCUGAGGCGCGAAAGCUAGGGGAGCGAACGGGAUUAGAUACCCCGGUAGUCCUAGCCGUAAACGAUGGGCACUAGGUGUGGGAGGUAUUGACCCCUUCCGCGCCGAAGCUAACGCAUUAAGUGCCCCGCCUGGGGAGUACGGCCGCAAGGCUAAAACUCAAAGGAAUAGACGGGGGCCCGCACAAGCGGUGGAGCAUGUGGUUCAAUUCGACGCAACGCGAAGAACCUUACCAGGGCUUGACAUCCCACGAACCUGCCUGAA